This 294-nucleotide long non-coding RNA is filed under the name Sitophilus oryzae (rice weevil). RNAcentral's name for it is "uncharacterized LOC115886363, transcript variant X1". Lineage: Eukaryota; Metazoa; Arthropoda; Insecta; Coleoptera; Curculionidae. The record is from RNAcentral.
UGAAGCUCUACCUACUGCCUCAGAGCAACAACACAAUAAAAAACCAAAAUAUGAACACCAGCAACUAAAACAGGAACCAUUAAAUGAAUAUUACACACAGCAAUAACAGCAUCAAAUAAUGGAAAUAAUGGACCCUACUGCUCAAAUCAAAAACAAAAUUUCAUCAUUACCACUUUAUUGGUUAUAUCAAUAAAAGAAAUUAUUGAGUUUAUGAGUCUAGAUCCUACAAGCAAGCAGAUCUAUCACAUAAUUUAAAAUGAAGAUUUAUCUAUUAUAGUAAUUUAUUCUAAUAAU